CCUACGGGGGGCAGCAGUGGGGGAUAUUGCACAAUGGGGGAAACCCUGAUGCAGCGACGCCGCGUGUAGGAAGACGGUCCUCUGGAUUGUAAACUACUGUCCCCAGGGACGAAGAUGACGGGACCUGGGGAGGAAGCUCCGGCUAACUACGUGCCAGCAGCCGCGGUAAUACGUAGGGAGCGAGCGUUGUCCGGAAUUACUGGGUGAAAAGGGAGCGUGGGCGGGGAUUCAAGUUGGGUGUUAAAUCUACCGGCUCAACUGGUAGUCGCCCUCAAAACUGCAGCUCUUGAGUGAAGUAGAGGCAGGCGGAAUGCCUAGUGUAGCGGUGAAAUGCGUAGAUAGUAGGAGGAACACCAGUGGCGAAGGCGGCCUGCUGGGCUUUUACUGACGCUGAGGCUCGAAAGUGUGGGGAGCAAACAGGAUUAGAUACCCUUGUAGUC
Molecule: ribosomal RNA, 440 nt
Filed under: uncultured bacterium
Lineage: Bacteria
Description: partial 16S ribosomal RNA
Rfam family: Bacterial small subunit ribosomal RNA
Source: RNAcentral